AGGGCUAUCUUCACCUGGACCAGG
Molecule: non-coding RNA, 24 nt
Filed under: Arabidopsis thaliana (thale cress)
Lineage: Eukaryota; Viridiplantae; Streptophyta; Magnoliopsida; Brassicales; Brassicaceae
Source: RNAcentral